Molecule: ribosomal RNA, 796 nt
Filed under: uncultured Clostridia bacterium
Lineage: Bacteria; Bacillati; Bacillota; Clostridia
Description: bacterial SSU rRNA
Rfam family: Bacterial small subunit ribosomal RNA
Source: RNAcentral
GAACUUAAGUGAAUUAGUGGCGAACGGGUGAGUAACGCGUGAGUAACCUGCCUUACACAAGGGGAUAGCCUCUGGAAACGGAGAAUACAUACCCUAUGAAACUAUCUUAUCGCAUGAAUAGAUAGUCAAAGUGUUUAGCGGUGUACAGAUGGACUUGCGUCUGAUUAGCUAGUUGGUGAGAUAACAGCCCACCAAGGCAACGAUCAGUAGCCGGCUUGAGAGAGUGUACGGCCACAUUGGGACUGAGACACGGCCCAGACUCCUACGGGAGGCAGCAGUGGGGAAUUUUGCACAAUGGGGGCAACCCUGAUGCAGCGACGCCGCGUGAUUUAGAAGGCCUUCGGGUUGUAAAAAUCUUUUGUAUAGGGAGAAAAUGACAGUACUAUACGAAUAAGGUCCGGCUAAUUACGUGCCAGCAGCCGCGGUAAUACGUAAGGACCGAGCGUUGUCCGGAAUCAUUGGGCGUAAAGGGUACGUAGGCGGUUAGAAAAGUUAGAAGUGAAAGGCUAUAGCUCAACUAUAGUAAGCUUUUAAAACUGUUUAACUUGAGAGAUGGAAGGGAAAGUGGAAUUCCUAGUGUAGCGGUGAAAUGCGCAGAUAUUAGGAGGAAUACCGGUGGCGAAGGCGACUUUCUGGCCAUUAUCUGACGCUGAGGUACGAAAGCGUGGGUAGCAAACAGGAUUAGAUACCCUGGUAGUCCACGCCGUAAACGAUGAGUGUUAGGUGUCUGGUGUUAAACUGGGUGCCGCAGCUAACGCAAUAAACACUCCGCCUGGGGAGUACGCACGCAAGUGUG